UACGGAGGGUGCUAGCGUUGUUCGGAAUCACUGGGCGUAAAGGGCGUGUAGGCGGUCUGUUAAGUCUGAUGUGAAAUCCCCUCGCUCAACGAGGGAACUGCGUCGGAUACUGGCAGACUUGAGUACCGGAGAGGAAGGUGGAAUUCCCGGUGUAGCGGUGAAAUUCGUAGAUAUUGGGAGGAACACCGGUGGCGAAGGCGGCCAUCUGGGAGGGCACUGACGCUGAGACGCGAAAGCGUGGGGAGCAAACAGG
RNAcentral lists this ribosomal RNA (253 nucleotides) under uncultured bacterium. RNAcentral describes it as "partial 16S ribosomal RNA". It matches the Rfam family "Bacterial small subunit ribosomal RNA", at positions 524 to 776 of the family's 1533-position model. The record is from RNAcentral.